UUUGACUUAAGUAAUAAUCCUCAAUAAGCUCUAUACCCUUUUUUAAGGAGUCUCGGGAACUCGAUUCAUCUUGAAGUUCAUCGGAAAUAUCGAUAAUUGAUGACGAACCAUCAUCUAUUACAAAUUCCUCGGACGAAACAGAUGCCAAAUCACUGGCAUGAGUGGAGUGUUCGUUUGAAGAAAUAUAAUAAUCGUCUACGAUUUUAAUUUCUUGCGAAGAUAUAUCAUUGUCAGAAGAUACUAGCACCGUACUCUGUUCAGUAGGAUUGGACUUGUAAUCUAUGCCACGAUUUUCAAAAAAGUUGUAGUCAACUUCGGUCAAGGAUUUUGCAUAGUCUUCAAUAGGGAGAGCCAAAUAGCAAUCCGAUAUUUCUUCAUCUUCAGUUGAUCCUAAAUCAGACAAAACUUUAAUCAACAACUCGGUGCUAUCCGCACAAGAUUGUACUUGUGCAUCGAGGUUAUCAACAGUUAUCAAGGUAGAAAAAACCCCUUCCUCAGCAUUGACAACUAAUGACAAUGUCAAAUUUUUUAGCUGAGAUAUUUCAACAUAACCCAAAGAUUUAACAACAAAUUCGAUAGUAUCUUUUAUCGAGAGUCCAGGGAAAUGGAGGGAAGAGUUAAGAAUUUCACGUUUUAACACAGAAGUCUUUCCUUCCAAAACGCUUUGGUUCAAUUUGUCAAUAAUGUAUACUACCGUUUCAGCUGCCAUGAUACGAAUGUUUAAUGGAUUUGAAGCGACAAGUGCAUCAAUUUCAACAUCAAGUGACUUCAAAUAUAGUAAUAACUUCGCCUCAAGCGUCCUAGGAUUCAGACCUAUUAUUGACUCUCUAAGGUCCAACUUAAUAUUAAAUGGAAAAUCAGGAAAUGCUAAGAAUGGAACUUCAGGAUCCUGAGGAAAGUAGGUUUUUAAUAAAUCCGAAAUCCAAGGGCAUGUAGGGUAGUGCUCAUAUCCAAGAUCAGUUAUUUUGA
This is a non-coding RNA of Schizosaccharomyces pombe (fission yeast), 969 nucleotides long. The record is from the annotation of a GenBank genome assembly. NCBI's taxonomy places the organism in Eukaryota, Fungi, Ascomycota, Schizosaccharomycetes, Schizosaccharomycetales, Schizosaccharomycetaceae.